Molecule: long non-coding RNA, 649 nt
Organism: Pan troglodytes (chimpanzee)
Lineage: Eukaryota; Metazoa; Chordata; Mammalia; Primates; Hominidae
Exons: 2
Source: RefSeq, a predicted model, not a curated record
CAGGAGAAGCAGAUGCCACACUCAGAGCAGGACUGAGGCUUCUCACCUGUAUGCGUGUGCCUAUGAAUGGCCAAGGGAGCCUCUUUGGUGCACGCACCACACGCAGUCAAAGCACCAGUAGGGCUUCUCUCCUGCGUGGAUAAGCUGGUGCUGGAGCAAGUUUCCCAGUCAGCAAGGGGAGUGCCACACUGUAGGCAGUGGUGGCAGUGCUCACCCAAGUGCGUGUGCCUGGUGGUGGCCACAAGGGAGGGGAAUGCAAACUGGCACCCACAUCUGUGCACACAUCCGCAUAUGUGCAUGGACAGCGCCCUCCUCAGGUGGAAGAGGUGGCUGCAGUCGGAGCCCUUGCAGAGCUCGUCCCCUGUGUGGGGGCAGCUGGUGCUGGACCAGGCUCCAGAUGUUCCUAUAGAUAACUACAAGGAACAACUGCACCUGGUGUGUGACUGUCCUCAGCAUUCCUUCUGGUGGCAGAUGCAGUUGUCAGCUUGCCAACAUCCUGCAUUCAUGAGAACAGUGUGCUGUUUGCUCAUAUAGCCUCCAGUGGUAUACUGAGUUGGUCACGACCCUCAUUCUUUCGGCCUCCAACAUCUCCCCCUUUCUGUUUUUGCAUUAAUUGAAUAAAGGUAAUUGCAGGCUGUGCAGCUCUCAA